UUAAGCGACUAAGCGUACACGGUGGAUGCCCUGGCAGUCAGAGGCGAUGAAGGACGUGCUAAUCUGCGAAAAGCGUCGGUAAGGUGAUAUGAACCGUUAUAACCGGCGAUGUCCGAAUGGGGAAACCCAGUGUGAUUCGUCACACUAUCGUUAACUGAAUACAUAGGUUAACGAGGCGAACCGGGGGAACUGAAACAUCUAAGUACCCCGAGGAAAAGAAAUCAACCGAGAUUCCCCCAGUAGCGGCGAGCGAACGGGGAGCAGCCCAGAGUCUGAAUCAGCUUGUGUGUUAGUGGAACGGUCUGGAAAGUCCGACGGUACAGGGUGAUAGUCCCGUACACCAAAAUGCACAGGUUGUGAACUCGAAGAGUAGGGCGGGACACGUGGUAUCCUGUCUGAAUAUGGGGGGACCAUCCUCCAAGGCUAAAUACUCCUGACUGACCGAUAGUGAACCAGUACCGUGAGGGAAAGGCGAAAAGAACCCCGGCGAGGGGAGUGAAAAAGAACCUGAAACCGUGUACGUACAAGCAGUGGGAGCACCUUCGGGUGUGACUGCGUACCUUUUGUAUAAUGGGUCAGCGACUUAUAUUCUGUAGCAAGGUUAACCGUAUAGGGGAGCCGCAGGGAAACCGAGUCUUAACUGGGCGUUAAGUUGCAGGGUAUAGACCCGAAACCCGGUGAUCUAGCCAUGGGCAGGUUGAAGGUUGGGUAACACUAACUGGAGGACCGAACCGACUAAUGUUGAAAAAUUAGCGGAUGACUUGUGGCUGGGGGUGAAAGGCCAAUCAAACCGGGAGAUAGCUGGUUCUCCCGAAAGCUAUUUAGGUAGCGCCUCGUGAAUUCAUCUUCGGGGGUAGAGCACUGUUUCGGCUAGGGGGUCAUCCCGACUUACCAACCCGAUGCAAACUACGAAUACCGAAGAAUGUUAUCACGGGAGACACACGGCGGGUGCUAACGUCCGUCGUGAAGAGGGAAACAACCCAGACCGCCAGCUAAGGUCCCAAAGUCAUGGUUAAGUGGGAAACGAUGUGGGAAGGCACAGACAGCCAGGAUGUUGGCUUAGAAGCAGCCAUCAUUUAAAGAAAGCGUAAUAGCUCACUGGUCGAGUCGGCCUGCGCGGAAGAUGUAACGGGGCUAAACCAUGCACCGAAGCUGCGGCAGCGACACUAUGUGUUGUUGGGUAGGGGAGCGUUCUGUAAGCCUGCGAAGGUGGCCUGUGAGGGUUGCUGGAGGUAUCAGAAGUGCGAAUGCUGACAUAAGUAACGAUAAAGCGGGUGAAAAGCCCGCUCGCCGGAAGACCAAGGGUUCCUGUCCAACGUUAAUCGGGGCAGGGUGAGUCGACCCCUAAGGCGAGGCCGAAAGGCGUAGUCGAUGGGAAACAGGUUAAUAUUCCUGUACUUGGUGUUACUGCGAAGGGGGGACGGAGAAGGCUAUGUUAGCCGGGCGACGGUUGUCCCGGUUUAAGCAUGUAGGCUGGUUAUCCAGGCAAAUCCGGAUAAUCAAGGCUGAGGUGUGAUGACGAGGCACUACGGUGCUGAAGUAACAAAUGCCCUGCUUCCAGGAAAAGCCUCUAAGCAUCAGGUAACAUUAAAUCGUACCCCAAACCGACACAGGUGGUCAGGUAGAGAAUACCAAGGCGCUUGAGAGAACUCGGGUGAAGGAACUAGGCAAAAUGGUGCCGUAACUUCGGGAGAAGGCACGCUGGUGUGUAGGUGAAGUCCCUGCGGAUGGAGCUGAGACCAGUCGAAGAUACCAGCUGGCUGCAACUGUUUAUUAAAAACACAGCACUGUGCAAACACGAAAGUGGACGUAUACGGUGUGACGCCUGCCCGGUGCCGGAAGGUUAAUUGAUGGGGUUAUCCGUAAGGAGAAGCUCUUGAUCGAAGCCCCGGUAAACGGCGGCCGUAACUAUAACGGUCCUAAGGUAGCGAAAUUCCUUGUCGGGUAAGUUCCGACCUGCACGAAUGGCGUAAUGAUGGCCAGGCUGUCUCCACCCGAGACUCAGUGAAAUUGAACUCGCUGUGAAGAUGCAGUGUACCCGCGGCAAGACGGAAAGACCCCGUGAACCUUUACUAUAGCUUGACACUGAACAUUGAGCCUUGAUGUGUAGGAUAGGUGGGAGGCUUUGAAGCGUGGACGCCAGUCUGCGUGGAGCCAACCUUGAAAUACCACCCUUUAAUGUUUGAUGUUCUAACGUUGGCCCCUGACCGGGGUUGCGGACAGUGUCUGGUGGGUAGUUUGACUGGGGCGGUCUCCUCCCAAAGCGUAACGGAGGAGCACGAAGGUUAGCUAAUCCUGGUCGGACAUCAGGAGGUUAGUGCAAUGGCAUAAGCUAGCUUGACUGCGAGCGUGACGGCGCGAGCAGGUGCGAAAGCAGGUCAUAGUGAUCCGGUGGUUCUGAAUGGAAGGGCCAUCGCUCAACGGAUAAAAGGUACUCCGGGAUAACAGGCUGAUACCGCCCAAGAGUUCAUAUCGACGGCGGUGUUUGGCACCUCGAUGUCGGCUCAUCACAUCCUGGGGCUGAAGUAGGUCCCAAGGGUAUGGCUGUUCGCCAUUUAAAGUGGUACGCGAGCUGGGUUUAGAACGUCGUGAGACAGUUCGGUCCCUAUCUGCCGUGGGCGCUGGAGAAUUGAGGGGGGCUGCUCCUAGUACGAGAGGACCGGAGUGGACGCAUCACUGGUGUUCGGGUUGUCAUGCCAAUGGCACUGCCCGGUAGCUAAAUGCGGAAGAGAUAAGUGCUGAAAGCAUCUAAGCACGAAACUUGCCCCGAGAUGAGUUCUCCCUGAGACUUUAAGUCUCCUGAAGGAACGUUAAAGACGAUGACGUUGAUAGGCCGGGUGUGUAAGCGCAGCGAUGCGUUGAGCUAACCGGUACUAAUGAACCGUGAGGCUUAACCUU
This 2898-nucleotide ribosomal RNA is filed under the name Klebsiella pneumoniae. Its description in RNAcentral is "bacterial LSU rRNA". It matches the Rfam family "Bacterial large subunit ribosomal RNA". The record is from RNAcentral. Lineage: Bacteria; Pseudomonadati; Pseudomonadota; Gammaproteobacteria; Enterobacterales; Enterobacteriaceae.